RNAcentral lists this ribosomal RNA (253 nucleotides) under uncultured bacterium. RNAcentral's name for it is "partial 16S ribosomal RNA". It matches the Rfam family "Bacterial small subunit ribosomal RNA", at positions 524 to 776 of the family's 1533-position model. The record is from RNAcentral.
UACAGAGGGGGCAAGCGUUAUUCGGAAUUAUUGGGCGUAAAGGGCGCGUAGGCGGCCUUGCAAGUGACGGGUGAAAUCCCUCGGCUUAACCGAGGAACUGCCUGUCAGACUGUAGGGCUUGAGACCGGGAGAGGUGAGUGGAAUUCCCAGUGUAGCGGUGAAAUGCGUAGAUAUUGGGAGGAACACCAGUGGCGAAGGCGGCUCACUGGACCGGUACUGACGCUGAUGCGCGAAAGCGUGGGGAGCAAACAGG